Molecule: long non-coding RNA, 2273 nt
Filed under: Homo sapiens (human)
Lineage: Eukaryota; Metazoa; Chordata; Mammalia; Primates; Hominidae
Description: HSALNT0117620
Source: RNAcentral
UCGUCCCCACCCUGGGACCCCGCGCCCCCCAGUCCCCCACUCCCGCGCCGAAGGCAGGGCCGCGCCCUGAGCCGGGAAGUCGAGGGGAUGGAAGGGAAAGGAGCCACCGGUGAGGGUCCCCCGGGUUCUGAGCCUCCCGCGUCGGGAUCCGUGGGGCGCACAGAGCGCCACCUCCGGCCGAGGCGCAGCUCAGAGCGCGAUGCGGGGGAGGAACGCGCGCGGAGGCCGAGGUCUGAGCGUGGCUAGACGGCUCCCACGCCGAGAAAGGGCGGGUGCGCCUGGGCUGGAUGGAUUUCGCCUCCCUAGACCAGGAGGGAUUGGACCCUGACUACAGGUCCAGGUGCUCGUCAGUGCCCUGCCAGGGGGUCUACGCGUCCUGGUACCGGGUCCAGCGGGGUGGCGUGCUGUGCAGACCCCGAGGCUAGACGGCCUAGGCCCCUGGAGCCCAGGAGACGCUUCCUUGGGUGAGCAGCGGAGAAUCCCGCCCGGCCCAGCCGUCACCCCCAACCCUGUCGAUUAAACCCCUGCCCCCGUCGCGGUCGCCCUCCCUCCAGACAAAGGCCGUUAAGGCGCAGCCCCGCGGGCGGUCUUUCAUCCCCAGCUAGGCCAGCUCUAGCAUUUCAAAGGCCGAAUCCGGAGAGCGCUUCGGGGGCUCUCCCCUUCCCCCAAAUAUUUGGGGAGCGACGCCUCUCCCUCCGCUCCCAGUGGGUCGCGUCUACACGCGCCCUUCCACACACCUGCAGGCCCCCUCCCCACGUCUCUCCCUUCCGUUGGCCGCAGCCCCACACCACGACCCCCGCGGUCAAGCAUGCCCUCUGGGUGGUCAGGACCAAGCGGGACCGGGACAGAACCAGGGGAGCCUUGGAAACGUGGAGGAGCCCCUUAAAGCCAGGCCUUGUCCCUCCAGGGGGAACUUGCGGCUUGGGAGGGGACACCCACUGCAUGGCUUCUGGAAAGAGCCGGACUCGCAGGGCCAGGACGCAGGCCGGACCCCGGCCUCAUUCUUCGGCCAGUUAUCCCGGAGUGGCGCGCAUCCUGUCUUCCUGGGCCUCGGACUGCUCGCGCGCAGAGGGGGCCCGAGGACACCUCUGUGGGGUUAGAGGACUCGCGGCCGCGCGAGGGAGGCGAAAACUUGUGCAGCCGCGCGACAGCCGCCUUCUGGGGAGACUCGGGGCACGACGCACCCGGCGUGGGACUGGGACCCCCCUGCCCGGCCCCGCCACAUUCUCCGCCGGAUCCCCGGAAGACACAAGGAGACGUGGACCCCCACAGGCUUUUUUGGGGGGAUUGGGCGUUGAAACCGCAGGGCUGACUUAACCAAGAGGUCACCGACUUGGAUAAAAAACCCACGCCCGCGCGGACCCCCCUCCCCGGCCUUCGUUUCCAUUCAAACUCCCAGCGUCCUCAUUGCAGCCCCUGGGGAGGGGGACGGAGGGACGAGGUGGGUUUCAGGUGCUCGGCCCAGGAGGGGACGGUGCGACCCGGGCCCCGCCGGCGGGUUUUGCGCGCGGAGGCUGCGGCACCUGCCCCGCCCGCCCUGCCGCGAUCCUUGCAGACGGGGGCGGUCACAUGCUUCUUUCUGGCCAGGAAUCGAGUUUCACUUCCAGCCGCUAUUAGUCGGUUCACACAGUUCACUGCAAACAUUUGAUAAUGAGGCUAAAUAUACUCCCGCGUCGGAGGAGGCGUGGGCGUCCCCGCCCAGGCCCGGGAGACAGAGGCGCUGACCCCGGGACAGAGCCUGGCUUUGUGCGGGAGGCAGACGCGCCCCGCGCGCCGCCCCCGAAACAUUCGCACCCCAUGCUGAGGCGCGCGUCUGGGAGUCCGUGGGCGCCCCGAGGGGCAGUGGAAGCCGUUGGAGGGCCUCAGGCAGGAACACAAGGUGUCGUGGCAGAAAGGAAGAAGGGGCCGGGCACGGUGGCCCACACCCGUCAUCCCAGCACUUUGGGAGGGAGGCCAAGGCAGGAGGAUCGCUUCAAUCCAGGAGUUCAAGAUCAGCCUGGGCAACACAGCAAGACCCCGUCUCUACUAAAACCCUAAAACUUAGCCAGGCUUGGUGGCAUGUGCCUAAGGUCCCAGGUCCUCGGGAGACUAAGGCAGGAGGAUUGCUUAAGCCCAAGAGUUUGAGGCUGCAGUGAACUAUUAUCACACCACUGCACUCAGCCUGGGUGACAGAGUGACUCUGUCUCAAAACUAAAUAAAUAAACAAUAAUUGUGUUAUUCUGUCUCCAUUUCUCGCAUACUGAAUUUAAGGUGGACUCAGCCAGCGGGUUCAG